GCGCCCGUAGCUUAAUGGAUAGAGCACGUGACUUCGGAUCAUGGGGUUGGGGGUUCGACUCCCUUCGGGCGCG
Molecule: transfer RNA, 73 nt
Filed under: Candidatus Levyibacteriota bacterium
Lineage: Bacteria; Candidatus Levyibacteriota
Description: tRNA-Arg
Rfam family: tRNA
About the family: Transfer RNA (tRNA) molecules are approximately 80 nucleotides in length. Their secondary structure includes four short double-helical elements and three loops (D, anti-codon, and T loops). Further hydrogen bonds mediate the characteristic L-shaped molecular structure. tRNAs have two regions of fundamental functional importance: the anti-codon, which is responsible for specific mRNA codon recognition, and the 3' end, to which the tRNAs corresponding amino acid is attached (by aminoacyl-tRNA synthetases). tRNAs cope with the degeneracy of the genetic code in two manners: having more than one tRNA (with a specific anti-codon) for a particular amino acid; and 'wobble' base-pairing, i.e. permitting non-standard base-pairing at the 3rd anti-codon position.
Source: RNAcentral